RNAcentral lists this long non-coding RNA (1026 nucleotides) under Ictidomys tridecemlineatus (thirteen-lined ground squirrel). Its description in RNAcentral is "lncRNA (ENSSTOG00000030423.1)". Lineage: Eukaryota; Metazoa; Chordata; Mammalia; Rodentia; Sciuridae. The record is from RNAcentral.
UUAACAGAAAUUUAAUCUACUCUAUGUGUAUCUAUAUUUAAUGAACAAUUUUGCUUAUAAGCACUCAUUUUAGUCGCCAGGGAGCCUAGAGAACAUAGUAUUCCAUGUUGUGAGGACACCUGAAGACUGUCACUACCCUGCCCUGGGGAGCUUGCAGGGAGCUCAGGGAUUGAGAGGAACACCAGGGCCUAGCUCAGUGGGGAUGGAGCUCAAUGGCAGGACACAGGCCUACCACACUCGAGGUCCUUCACUCCAUCCAGAACCAAAACCCAAAAAACAACUCCAGGGCCCAAGUCCUACGUGAGGGAGUGCUCAGUGACAUGAAUGGAGAAUAGCGUUUCAAGGAGGUGACAGGCGGGGCUGUGUACAGGCUGAACUGACAACUGUGACCGUGCAGAAGGGUGUCUUCACCUCAUGCUCUUCCUCGAUUGCCCGUCUCUCUAAAGCCACCUCUCCCUUCUUGCUUUGAACACAGGGUCACCCUGGACAGUCAUUACGAAGCCUGCUGUCACUAUGGGGUAGCCCAAGGACACAUCUUCCAGGAACACCAUCCUUCGGCAUUUACCUAUGCAAAUGUUACAUUGAGCAAAGUGGCACAGUCCGCAUGUAGAUUGGGGUGUGGGGCUUUUGCCUCUGGAGUUCCCCCGGUUUGAGUGAUGGCAGCAGAAGGAUCCAGUGAGCAGGUGCCAGGAGCAGCUGACGGGGACCAGAGGAGCUCUGCCUCAGCAGCGAGGCUCUCCUGGUCGCAUGCAGAAGCAGCACAAUACUAAAGGAGCUGACAAGGCAUAUUUAAGACCAUGCAAGAAAAGCAGGAAACAGGAAAAGAACUCACUGGAACUGUCUAACAGCAGCCUUGGCAGGGCUGUGGGUGAGUUCAUAUAACUGGACAGCAUGGUUUCUGCUAUUUCGUAUUUUGCUACAAUUUGAUUUGCUUCCAUUUGGAUUCUUCCUCCCUUGGCACUUUUCUGUGCCCUGUGCUUGGUAAUUAGCAAGCAUCACUUGCAUGAUUGCCUUUUACACCCACAC